UCAAAUGACUUUUGAACUUAGUGGCGGACGGGUGAGUAACGCGUGAGCAACCUACCUUUCAUGGGGGACAACAGUUGGAAACGACUGGCUAAUACCGCAUGACGCAUAGAGGUCGCAUGAUCUUUAUGCCAAAGAUUUAUCGCUUCAAGAUGGCCUCGCGUCUGAUUAGCUAGUUGGUGAGGUAACGGCCCACCAAGGCGACGAUCAGUAGCCGGACUGAGAGGUUGAACGGCCACACUUGGGACUGAGAUACGGCCCAGACUCC
RNAcentral lists this ribosomal RNA (265 nucleotides) under uncultured Oscillospiraceae bacterium. RNAcentral describes it as "partial 16S ribosomal RNA". It matches the Rfam family "Bacterial small subunit ribosomal RNA", at positions 72 to 339 of the family's 1533-position model. The record is from RNAcentral. Lineage: Bacteria; Bacillati; Bacillota; Clostridia; Eubacteriales; Oscillospiraceae.